Molecule: ribosomal RNA, 492 nt
Filed under: uncultured bacterium
Lineage: Bacteria
Description: partial 16S ribosomal RNA
Rfam family: Bacterial small subunit ribosomal RNA
Source: RNAcentral
AGUGAACGCUGGCGGUAGGCCUAACACAUGCAAGUCGAACGGCAGCACAGUAAGAGCUUGCUCUUACGGGUGGCGAGUGGCGGACGAGUGAGGAAUACAUCGGAAUCUACUUUUUCGUGGGGGAUAACGUAGGGAAACUUACGCUAAUACCGCAUACGACCUACGGGUGAAAGCAGGGGAUCUUCGGACCUUGCGCGAUUGAAUGAGCCGAUGUCGGAUUAGCUAGUUGGCGGGGUAAAGGCCCACCAAGGCGACGAUCGGUAGCUGGUCUGAGAGGAUGAUCAGCCACACUGGAACUGAGACACGGUCCAGACUCCUACGGGAGGCAGCAGUGGGGAAUAUUGGACAAUGGGCGCAAGCCUGAUCCAGCCAUACCGCGUGGAGGAAGAAGGCCUUCGGGUUGUAAAGCCCUUUUGUUGGGAAAGAAAAGCAGCAGGUUAAUACCCCGCUGUUCUGACGGUACCCAAAGAAUAAGCACCGGCUAACUUCGUG